Ictalurus punctatus (channel catfish) is the source of this 680-nucleotide long non-coding RNA. RefSeq lists it as uncharacterized. The record is from RefSeq and is a predicted model, not a curated record. Lineage: Eukaryota; Metazoa; Chordata; Actinopteri; Siluriformes; Ictaluridae. The transcript has 3 exons.
GGGAUGGGGGAUACCGUGUGUGUGUGUGUGUAGCGAAGGCUGAACCACUAUGAGUGGUUGUGUUUUGUGCUCUUAGGGGUGUGUUUGGGAAUUAUGUUUCUAUAAAAAGUAUGCCAUUCUCAGGUUAACACACACACACAUACAAACACACACGAAAACACUCUGACUUAUCACCUGUUGACAGUAAGGCUAAACUCACCAACAUGGACUUGGGCAAGGGCGGCAUUGAUGGACAGGUCAAUAAGGUCAUCGAUCAGGCAGCUGGGGUUGCCAAAAAGAAAAUUGGCGAGGCGAUUGGAGGAGAUAAAAAUAAGGACAAGAAACAGGCGGGAGGUAUUGGCGAUAUGGUGAGCGGUGCGAUUGGCAAAGCAGCAGCUGACAGCGCAGCAGAUCAGGCACUCAAUUUUGGGAAGGGCCUAUUGAAAUGAUUUGCAUUCAUUUGUUGCAUCUUUUCUAAUGCAAUUCCUCACAAAGCAAAUUUAUCCUUCAGUCCUGUACACACACACCUGUAACCUGGAACACACAUUAUCUCUGUAAUACUUUCACUUUCUAAACCAGACAUAAACAAACAAAUCCUGCUUCUGUUGUAAUGGAACAAAGGCACUUUAAUUGUCUGAUUAUUAUCCUGUUAUCAUCAUCCUGUGCAUAACAAGUUAAAUUAAACACCAAUGGAACAAAAA